UUGGUUUGUUACCGGUGGUUGGCUCUCUGCUUUUGCAACAACUUCCACCUGGCAUUCCUCUUCAGUUUUGCGUAUGGGUCGUACCUUGCGCGCUUUUGGUUUCCUGUGUUGCUUACCUAUUAGACGGUAUUGAUGGAUAAUAUUUGUGUUGUUUUGUCUUUGCGUCGUUCGUCGCGCGAGAUAAAUCUUAAGGCAAAUUCUAUGAUCCACUUUGUUGACGUGCAUGCGUCGAUGUCGUGGCUCAUUGAGUUUUGCUUGGUGUCAUGGAUGCAGAAAAUGAUAUGGGCGAGGGGCUCUGCGGUCCUUCUUUGCCCUUGUUGAACGUUGUUACGUCUCUAAGAUGACUCCCUAGCCCGAAUUGGCUCGUACCACGGGUAGGCGAUGUUGUUGAAGAGAAAUGACGGCGUUCUUGCUUCUCUAAGUCGAACGGCCUUGCCUGCAUGGGCUUGUACCGGCGGGUGGGCUAUGUCGAAGAGGGAUGCUACCUGGUUGAUCCUGCCAGUAGUCAUAUGCUUGUCUCA
Molecule: unclassified non-coding RNA, 521 nt
Filed under: Inula germanica
Lineage: Eukaryota; Viridiplantae; Streptophyta; Magnoliopsida; Asterales; Asteraceae
Description: contains 3 external transcribed spacer, ETS
Source: RNAcentral